RNAcentral lists this ribosomal RNA (490 nucleotides) under uncultured bacterium. RNAcentral describes it as "partial 16S ribosomal RNA". It matches the Rfam family "Bacterial small subunit ribosomal RNA", at positions 30 to 507 of the family's 1533-position model. The record is from RNAcentral.
AUUGAACGCUGGCGGCAGGCCUAACACAUGCAAGUCGAACGGUAACAGGAAACAGCUUGCUGUUUCGCUGACGAGUGGCGGACGGGUGAGUAAUGUCUGGGAAACUGCCUGAUGGAGGGGGAUAACUACUGGAAACGGUAGCUAAUACCGCAUAACGUCGCAAGACCAAAGAGGGGGACCUUCGGGCCUCUUGCCAUCGGAUGUGCCCAGAUGGGAUUAGCUAGUGGGUGGGGUAACGGCUCACCUAGGCGACGAUCCCUAGCUGGUCUGAGAGGAUGACCAGCCACACUGGAACUGAGACACGGUCCAGACUCCCACGGGAGGCAGCAGUGGGGAAUAUUGCACAAUGGGCGCAAGCCUGAUGCAGCCAUGCCGCGUGUAUGAAGAAGGCCUUCGGGUUGUAAAGUACUUUCAGCGGGGAGGAAGGGAGUAAAGUUAAUACCUUGACUCAUUGACGUUACCCGCAGAAGAAGCACCGGCUAACUCCGUG